RNAcentral lists this ribosomal RNA (781 nucleotides) under uncultured Lactobacillus sp. RNAcentral's name for it is "bacterial SSU rRNA". It matches the Rfam family "Bacterial small subunit ribosomal RNA", at positions 28 to 776 of the family's 1533-position model. Lineage: Bacteria; Bacillati; Bacillota; Bacilli; Lactobacillales; Lactobacillaceae. The record is from RNAcentral.
GACGAACGCUGGCGGCGUGCCUAAUACAUGCAAGUCGAGCGAGCUUGCCUAUUGAAAUUCUUCGGAAUGGACAUAGAUACAAGCUAGCGGCGGAUGGGUGAGUAACGCGUGGGUAACCUGCCCUUAAGUCUGGGAUACCAUUUGGAAACAGAUGCUAAUACCGGAUAAAAGCUACUUUCGCAUGAAAGAAGUUUAAAAGGCGGCGUAAGCUGUCGCUAAAGGAUGGACCUGCGAUGCAUUAGCUAGUUGGUAAGGUAACGGCUUACCAAGGCGAUGAUGCAUAGCCGAGUUGAGAGACUGAUCGGCCACAUUGGGACUGAGACACGGCCCAAACUCCUACGGGAGGCAGCAGUAGGGAAUCUUCCACAAUGGACGCAAGUCUGAUGGAGCAACGCCGCGUGAGUGAAGAAGGUUUUCGGAUCGUAAAGCUCUGUUGUUGGUGAAGAAGGAUAGAGGUAGUAACUGGCCUUUACUUGACGGUAAUCAACCAGAAAGUCACGGCUAACUACGUGCCAGCAGCCGCGGUAAUACGUAGGUGGCAAGCGUUGUCCGGAUUUAUUGGGCGUAAAGCGAGCGCAGGCGGAUUGAUAAGUCUGAUGUGAAAGCCUUCGGCUCAACCGAAGAACUGCAUCAGAAACUGUCAAUCUUGAGUGCAGAAGAGGAGAGUGGAACUCCAUGUGUAGCGGUGGAAUGCGUAGAUAUAUGGAAGAACACCAGUGGCGAAGGCGGCUCUCUGGUCUGUAACUGACGCUGAGGCUCGAAAGCAUGGGUAGCGAACAGG